This 432-nucleotide long non-coding RNA is filed under the name Sorghum bicolor (sorghum). RNAcentral describes it as "long non-coding RNA (SBIC_LNC000979)". Lineage: Eukaryota; Viridiplantae; Streptophyta; Magnoliopsida; Poales; Poaceae. The record is from RNAcentral.
GGACAAUUAUUUAGGACAAUUAAUAAUUAUUUUGGACAAUUAAUAAUUAUAAGAUAAAUAAAACAUCAUAUACAUUUAUUUAAGACAAUUAAUAAUUAAUAAUUAUUUAGGACAAUUAAUAAAUAUUUCGGACAAUUAAUAAUUAAUAAUACAUCAUAUACAUUUAUUUACGACAAUUAAUAAUUAUUUAGGACAAUUAUACAUCAUAUACAUUAUAUAAGAAAAAUAAAAAAUAAGAAAAAAAAUGGGCGCUAGUGGGCCGGCCCAGCUGGGCAGGCGGCCCACCGGCCCGUGCCCCUCCCCCUCCCUCUCCCCCUCACCCUCUCCGCCGGCCGCAGCAAGCACACCGCCGCCGCCGCCUCGGUUGAGGAGCCCCGAGACUCCCCCGAGGCGGUUGCGCGCAGCCCCUGAGGCUUCCCCGCGUUGAGCCAC